AUUUUUUUUUGUUAAUCGAUAUAAGUUGAAUGUCGGACUGUGUCCCUUUUUGUCAUCUAAGACUUUGAAUAAUUAUUAUGAAGACGUCAAACAUGAUUUAAGCAGGUAGAAUUAUGAAUCAGCUCAUUAUAUUAUCACUUUAUUUUUGAUGUAUUAAGUUGUAAUGCGGAUCGCGAAUGAAAUUAUUGUGUAUCGUUAUUAUUUUACGAACUUA
Molecule: unclassified non-coding RNA, 214 nt
Filed under: Hevea brasiliensis (rubber tree)
Lineage: Eukaryota; Viridiplantae; Streptophyta; Magnoliopsida; Malpighiales; Euphorbiaceae
Source: RNAcentral